RNAcentral lists this ribosomal RNA (460 nucleotides) under uncultured bacterium. RNAcentral describes it as "partial 16S ribosomal RNA". It matches the Rfam family "Bacterial small subunit ribosomal RNA", at positions 338 to 795 of the family's 1533-position model. The record is from RNAcentral.
CCUACGGGUGGCAGCAGUGAGGAAUAUUGGUCAAUGGGCGCAAGCCUGAACCAGCCAAGUAGCGUGAAGGAUGACUGCCCUACGGGUUGUAAACUUCUUUUAUAAAGGAAUAAAGUGAGGCACGUGUGCCUUUUUGUAUGUACUUUAUGAAUAAGGAUCGGCUAACUCCGUGCCAGCAGCCGCGGUAAUACGGAGGGUCCGAGCGUUAUCCGGAUUUAUUGGGUUUAAAGGGAGCGCAGAUGGGUUGUUAAGUCAGUUGUGAAAGGUUGCGGCUCAACCGUAAAAUUGCAAUUGAUACUGGCAGUCUUGAGUACAGGUGAGGUAGGCGGAAUUCGUGGUGUAGCGGUGAAAUGCUUAGAUAUCACGAAGAACCCCGAUUGCGAAGGCAGCUUACUAAACUGCAACUGACACUGAUGCUCGAAAGCGUGGGUAUCAAACAGGAUUAGAUACCCCGGUAGUC